RNAcentral lists this ribosomal RNA (253 nucleotides) under uncultured bacterium. Its description in RNAcentral is "partial 16S ribosomal RNA". It matches the Rfam family "Bacterial small subunit ribosomal RNA", at positions 524 to 776 of the family's 1533-position model. The record is from RNAcentral.
UACAGAGGGGGCAAGCGUUGUUCGGAAUUACUGGGCGUAAAGGGUUCGUAGGUGGCUUACUAAGUCAGACGUGAAAUCCCUCAGCUUAACUGGGGAACUGCGUCUGAUACUGGAAAGCUUGAGUGCAGGAGAGGAACGCGGAAUUCCAGGUGUAGCGGUGAAAUGCGUAGAUAUCUGGAGGAACACCGGUGGCGAAGGCGGCGUUCUGGACUGCAACUGACACUGAGGAACGAAAGCCAGGGGAGCAAACGGG